RNAcentral lists this long non-coding RNA (314 nucleotides) under Elaeis guineensis (African oil palm). Its description in RNAcentral is "long non-coding RNA (EGUI_LNC076691)". The record is from RNAcentral. Lineage: Eukaryota; Viridiplantae; Streptophyta; Magnoliopsida; Arecales; Arecaceae.
UCCGCUUCCAGAUUUGGCCGUUGGAAGCGCGGUCUGCGCAGCAUUCAAAGCAUCCAACCCAACAAAUCGUAUACCAAAGGAAAAAAAAGAAGCCCUUUAUCUGAUUCUUCCCCUUUUUAUAUUCCAUUCAUCGCUCUCCCUCUCUCUCUGAUGCUUUAUUCUCUGCUACGUGCUCUGCUUUUUAUCCCCUCUUUCUCUAGAAAGGCCUGCAAGAAUUGAUAAGGAGAAGUCUAAGGGAACGACGAGGAGAUAGGAAGAGGGGAGGGGUGGGUUCUCUGGAAGAAUUGAUGCCGAAGGGUCCUCUGGAAGCGAAU